RNAcentral lists this ribosomal RNA (1008 nucleotides) under human gut metagenome. RNAcentral's name for it is "bacterial LSU rRNA". It matches the Rfam family "Bacterial large subunit ribosomal RNA", at positions 1919 to 2925 of the family's 2925-position model. The record is from RNAcentral.
CCCAGUAAACGGCGGCCGUAACUAUAACGGUCCUAAGGUAGCGAAAUUCCUUGUCAGGUAAGUUCUGACCCGCACGAAUGGCGUAAUGACUUGGGCACUGUCUCAACUGCAAAUCCGGCGAAGUUGUAGUGCGAGUGAAGAUGCUCGCUACCCGCGAUUGGACGGAAAGACCCCGUAGAGCUUUACUGUAGCUUAGCAUUGAGUUUCGAUAUUGUCUGUACAGGAUAGGUGGGAGACUGAGAAGCUAGGGCGUCAGCCUUAGUGGAGUCAACCUUGGGAUACCACCCUGACAGUAUUGGGAUUCUAACCGGACGCCAUGAAUCUGGUGACGGGACAUUGUUAGGUGGGCAGUUUGACUGGGGCGGUCGCCUCCUAAAAAGUAACGGAGGCGCCCAAAGGUUCCCUCAGAACGGUCGGAAAUCGUUCGAAGAGUGCAAAGGCAGAAGGGAGCCUGACUGCGACACCCACAAGUGGAGCAGGGACGAAAGUCGGGCUUAGUGAUCCGGUGGUACCUCGUGGGAGGGCCAUCGCUCAACGGAUAAAAGCUACCUCGGGGAUAACAGGCUGAUCUCCCCCAAGAGUCCACAUCGACGGGGAGGUUUGGCACCUCGAUGUCGGCUCGUCGCAUCCUGGGGCUGUAGUAGGUCCCAAGGGUUGGGCUGUUCGCCCAUUAAAGCGGCACGCGAGCUGGGUUCAGAACGUCGUGAGACAGUUCGGUCCCUAUCCGUCGCGGGCGUAGGAAAUUUGAGAGGAGCUGUCCUUAGUACGAGAGGACCGGGAUGGACUGACCUCUGGUGCACCAGUUGUUCCGCCAGGAGCAUAGCUGGGUAGCUAAGUCGGGAAGGGAUAAACGCUGAAAGCAUCUAAGCGUGAAGCCCCCCUCAAGAUGAGAUUUCCCAUAGCAUAAGCUAGUAAGACCCCUUGAAGAACACAAGGUUGAUAGGUCAGAGGUGUAAGUGUGGUAACAUAUUUAGCUGACUGAUACUAAUAGGUCGAGGGCUUGACCAA